UCUUGUACAAUUUAAUUACACGCUUAUCGAUUGAUUUCAGCUAAUGUGUAUAUUUUUGCAGGUGUUCGAUUAACGGAUGUGUACUUUAAUGCAAGUGCAGAAAUGUCAAUUAUGUGUACUCUUCAUGUUUCUCUCUCUCUCAGUGGCGAUUUUCUCUUCAGAGCACGAUUUUUGUAUAGAAUAGAAAGAAGCACGUUAAAUUAUAUAUUCGUUUUCUUCUAGCAUAUUCUAGAAGAAGUUUUGCACAUAGUCUUCAUCACAGAAUUUUGUCUCAAAUUUUCGAGUUUUUUUUUUUUUUUUUUUUUUAAGGCUGUUUCCAUGGCAACGGCGGCCAUUUUGAAAAUUUCGAAGACAGAUGACAAUACAAUAGCAUUUAAACGGGAAUGAGCUUAAAAUUUGUACGAAAAUGUUACUUUGACGUUUUUUACCAUAUGGGUCCAAUGUGCACUUUUCAGCGUUAUCUCCAUGGUAACAGCAGCUAUCUUAAAAAUUCCAACGGCAAUGAAUUCUACAGUUUAUACUGCUGUUUUCUACUUACGGUUUUUUUUGCCGUAUCUGUAGCGGUUUAUUUUCUAUGAAUUAAUUAAGGAUUUAUUUUCGUUUUUUUCACGUUUGGACCGUUUCCAUGACAACGGUAGCCAUUUUAAAAGUUCUUAAGAUGGAUGUCACGCCUUCUAACGAUGAGUUAUUAGUUCUGAAAGUUUCAUUAAAUUUGGACCAUUUUUCGGUUUUUUUACAUUUUUGCCGUUUCCAUGGAAACGGCGGCCAUCUUGAACCAUUCCAUGCUUACUGCAACUUUGCACAUGGGGAUUGUCAUUAUGGUGCAGUUUUAUAAAUAUAUGUCAAGGCAUCUCCGAGAAAUCGGCUGGACAAAAAGUGUGGAAGAAAAAAUUCGUAGAAUAACAAUAUAUCCCCCCUUUUUCAAAGGGGUGACAUAAUAAUACGCGAAAGUCGAUUGUUCAACAGAGAAUUAAAGGUAUUUUCUUUCAUAAACUCAACGUAAAAGAUAUGUGGAUUGGUUGAUUGAUGGUUUGUGAUCAUGAUUGAUCAAUCAUUGAUUGAUUAAUCGUUUGAUUGAUUGAUUAAUCGACUGAUAGGCAGUUUGUAAAAUGGUAAGGGGACGUUUUUUUUCGAUAUCUGCACUUGAUUCAUUACUUGUUUGAUAUCAAAACUUGAUUGAUUGAUCAUCUUAUCAUGAUUUGAUCACUUGAAUCAUGAUUUUAUUGAUUGAUCAAUACUUUGUAUAGCAUAAAGUGACACAUUUUGCAUUGGUUUAUUCCUUGUCUAUACGUUUUGUGCUGUUCAGUGACAAAUAUCUGUGAACAAUUUUACACGUAAAAUUGAGAAAAAUACUCUAUUUCCUGUUUUCUCAUCAGAAAAAAUGAAUUGCGAAUGAGUUAUUCUAACACUAGAUUUGCCAUUGCAAGCAAUAGCGGAGGAUGUCACCCCGUUCUUGACAUUGUCACAGUAGCAGCAACCAGUUUGAGUGUAUCAAAGUCACAUGGCACGUCUAGUAUACAUGCCUUUGACCCCCCCCCCCUUUUUUUCUCUUCUCGUAGACUAAGAGUGAUGUCUAUUUAUAGUUGGGGAACUCUUUAAAAUCUUAAAUUAGACACACGCUUGAGGAAGAAAGGUGCUGUCACGUGAUACUGAAGUAUAUUAUCGUGGAGUUAGUACAUUACUAUUCUUUUUAGAGGGGACCUUGGACAGACAACAUGUGUAUAUAUUGACGGAGCGGCAUACUAACUGUUCAUUUUAUUCUUCAAUAUCUCGCGUAUCACACGAUACAAGUAUUUUAUCUUGUACAAUUUAAUUACACGCUUAUCGAUUGAUUUCAGCUAAUGUGUAUAUUUUUUGCAGGUGUUCGAUUAACGGAUGUGUACUUUAAUGCAAGUGCAGAAAUGUCAAUUAUGUGUACUCUUCAUGUUUCUCUCUCUCUCAGUGGCGAUUUUCUCUUCAGAGCACGAUUUUUGUAUAUAGAAUAGAAAGAAGCACGUUAAAUUAUAUAUUCGUUUUCUUCUAGCAUAUUCUAGAAGAAGUUUUGCACAUAGUCUUCAUCACAGAAUUUUGUCUCAAAUUUUCGAUUUUUUUUUUUUUUUUUUUUUUUAAGGCUGUUUCCAUGGCAACGGCGGCCAUUUUGAAAAUUUCGAAGACAGAUGACAAUACAAUAGCAUUUAAACGGGAAUGAGCUUAAAAUUUGUACGAAAAUGUUACUUUGACGUUUUUUACCAUAUGGGUCCAAUGUGCACUUUUAGCGUUAUCUCCAUGGUAACAGCAGCUAUCUUAAAAAUUCCAACGGCAAUGAAUUCUACAGUUUAUACUGCUGUUUUCUACUUACGGUUUUUUUUUGCCGUAUCUGUAGCGGUUUAUUUUCUAUGAAUUAAUUAAGGAUUUAUUUUCGUUUUUUUCACGUUUGGACCGUUUCCAUGACAACGGUAGCCAUUUUAAAAGUUCUUAAGAUGGAUGUCACGCCUUCUAACGAUGAGUUAUUAGUUCUAAAAGUUUCAUUAAAUUUGGACCAUUUUUCGGUUUUUUACAUUUUUGCCGUUUCCAUGGAAACGGCGGCCAUCUUGAACCAUUCCAUGCUUACUGCAACUUUGCACAUGGAGAUUGUCAUUAUGGUGCAGUUUUAUAAAUAUAUGUCAAGGCAUCUCCGAGAAAUCGGCUGGACAAAAAGUGUGGAAGAAAAAAUUCGUAGAAUAACAAUAUAUCCCCCCUUUUUCAAAGGGGUGACAUAAUAAUACGCGAAAGUCGAUUGUUCAACAGAGAAUUAAAGGUAUUUUCUUUCAUAAACUCAACGUAAAAGAUAUGUGGAUUGGUUGAUUGAUGGUUUGUGAUCAUGAUUGAUCAAUCAUUGAUUGAUUAAUCGUUUGAUUGAUUGAUUAAUCGACUGAUAGGCAGUUUGUAAAAUGGUAAGGGGACGUUUUUUUCGAUAUCUGCACUUGAUUCAUUACUUGUUUGAUAUCAAAACUUGAUUGAUUGAUCAUUUAUCAUGAUUUGAUCACUUGAAUCAUGAUUUUAUUGAUUGAUCAAUACUUUGUAUAGCAUAAAGUGACACAUUUUGCAUUGGUUUAUUCCUUGUCUAUACGUUUUGUGCUGUUCAGUGACAAAUAUCUGUGAACAAUUUUACACGUAAAAUUGAGAAAAAUACUCUAUUUCCUGUUUUCUCAUCAGAAAAAAUGAAUUGCGAAUGAGUUAUUCUAACACUAGAUUUGCCAUUGCAAGCAAUAGCGGAGGAUGUCACCCCGUUCUUGACAUUGUCACAGUAGCAGCAACCAGUUUGAGUGUAUCAAAGUCACAUGGCACGUCUAGUAUACAUGCCUUUGACCCCCCCCCCUUUUUUUCUCUUCUCGUAGACUAAGAGUGAUGUCUAUUUAUAGUUGGGGAACUCUUUAAAAUCUUAAAUUAGACACACGCUUGAGGAAGAAAGGUGCUGUCACGUGAUACUGAAGUAUAUUAUCGUGGAGUUAGUACAUUACUAUUCUUUUUAGAGGGGACCUUGGACAGACAACAUGUGUAUAUAUUGACGGAGCGGCAUACUAACUGUUCAUUUUAUUCUUCAAUAUCACGCGUAUCACACGAUACAAGUAUUUUAUCUUGUACAAUUUAAUUACACGCUUAUCGAUUGAUUUCAGCUAAUGUGUAUAUUUUUGCAGGUGUUCGAUUAACGGAUGUGUACUUUAAUGCAAGUGCAGAAAUGUCAAUUAUGUGUACUCUUCAUGUUUCUCUCUCUCUCAGUGGCGAUUUUCUCUUCAGAGCACGAUUUUUGUAUAGAAUAGAAAGAAGCACGUUAAAUUAUAUAUUCGUUUUCUUCUAGCAUAUUCUAGAAGAAGUUUUGCACAUAGUCUUCAUCACAGAAUUUUGUCUCAAAUUUUCGAGUUUUUUUUUUUUUUUUUUUUUUUAAGGCUGUUUCCAUGGCAACGGCGGCCAUUUUGAAAAUUUCGAAGACAGAUGACAAUACAAUAGCAUUUAAACGGGAAUGAGCUUAAAAUUUGUACGAAAAUGUUACUUUGACGUUUUUUUACCAUAUGGGUCCAAUGUGCACUUUCAGCGUUAUCUCCAUGGUAACAGCAGCUAUCUUAAAAAUUCCAACGGCAAUGAAUUCUACAGUUUAU
Molecule: long non-coding RNA, 4115 nt
Filed under: Mytilus galloprovincialis (Mediterranean mussel)
Lineage: Eukaryota; Metazoa; Mollusca; Bivalvia; Mytilida; Mytilidae
Source: RNAcentral